This 778-nucleotide long non-coding RNA is filed under the name Phasianus colchicus (ring-necked pheasant). RNAcentral's name for it is "lncRNA (ENSPCLG00000008114.1)". Lineage: Eukaryota; Metazoa; Chordata; Aves; Galliformes; Phasianidae. The record is from RNAcentral.
GGAGAUUCUAUGAAACAUGUAAUCUCUUGUACAAAACCAGUGAAUUUCUCUGGAAUAAAACAAACAACUGUGAAAGCUAUUAUAAGUUAACAGUAUUGCAUAACUGUUUCAUUGACUUUUUUUCAAUUAAUUAUAUUAAUGUAUAAACAGACAGCAUUUAUGAUCCUUUCCAGGGAGAAAUGGGUGUUGCUGGUUUUCCUGGGAGACCUGGAUAUCCAGGCAUCAAGGGGGAUCUUGGAGAAAAAGGGCCCCCAGGUCCUCCUGGAGCUAUUGGAACUCCACUGCUUCCUGUGAAAGGCCCACCAGGAGAUCCUGGAUUUCCAGGUCCUGCGGGUGACAUGGGGUCAGUUGGACCUUCUGGCCCUGUGGGUCUGCUAGGAAGACCAGGAGAUGAUGGAACAAGUAAGAGAUUUUGGGAAUAAAAUAAGAACUCUAUAGUAAGAGAAAACUAAAAGAAAACUCUUUGUUCUUGUUUCAUGCAAGUCACCAAAAAUAUGGAUUUUGGGUCUACAGACGGUGAAAAAAAAUAUAUUAUCCCAAUACUUAAUCAUACUCAAAAAAGAACUAGAAUGUUCCAAAUAGAUCAUUAGGAAUUGCUAGAAAAUGAACAGAAGGCAAAGCAGAAAAUGCUGCCAUGUACUGUAUAUCCAUGGUGUACUGUAUCUGUAACACUGUGCUCAGAAAUCCUGUUCCCAACUUCAGAAAGUUGUAAAGGAGAGUGAUAUAGACAACUUUGCUCUGUAUAAGGACCAACUAAAUAAACUAUGAUGUCUGCACA